RNAcentral lists this long non-coding RNA (1156 nucleotides) under Equus asinus (donkey). RNAcentral's name for it is "lncRNA (ENSEASG00005028503.1)". Lineage: Eukaryota; Metazoa; Chordata; Mammalia; Perissodactyla; Equidae. The record is from RNAcentral.
GUACCUCACAGUGUCCUUGGAAACUAACGGGGGCGCCCAGGGUGAAAGUGAGAGGGAGCGCUGGGGUGGGAGGUCCUGGGCCCCCGUCGCCCCCAGCGCCAUGUGUGCGCCCGGACAGACCCUCGGCGGGGGCAGCCAGUGGGGGGCCUCGGGCCCCUGACCUGUCAGUCCUGGCUCUGUCAUCUGUGAGCAGGAGCGACAGAAGGGCCUGGGUCAGCGUGCUCAUCUGGACGUGAGAUUGAUAGCACCGUCUCAUGGCGUCGUUUUGAGGUCCGAGUCAUCGUUGUACAGUAUUUAGAUGAGGGCCAGCUGAGCCACAGUUCUCUUCACUUGCCCAGGAGCCACAGAAAGUGAACAUCCCUCAGAUACUGUAAACAGUAUAAUGGAUUUUCUAAUAUGAACUUGAAUUCCUGUAUAGACCCUAGUUGCUAAGUGUGCAGACUCUAAACAUCGGGAGUAGAGGAACAGGCCCUUGCCAUAUUGUGCUCUCUAGCUCUGCACGGCCCCCUGUCAGCACCAAUGGCUACAAGACUAUCCUUUCUCCAUUGAAUUACCUUGGCACCUCUGUGGGAAGUCAACCGGCAAUGCAUCAGUGUCAUUCAAGGACAUGAUUGUGGAGUUCACCAGGAGGAGUGGUGGCAGAUGGACUGCACAGAGGACACUCUGCAGAGAUGUGAUGAUGCUGGAGAACUACAGCCACCUCGUCCCUGUGGGUGAGCAAACCUCACCAUGUGACUCCUUUUAGACUGCAAAUUCUGUUUUUUCUUUUUUAAAUGUCGAUCACUUUUGUUGAGGUGUAUUUAACAGAAAAUAAAACUCAGUACUUUUCAGUGUACAAGUGAGUGAGUUUUGAAAAAUGAUAAAGUAGAUGACCAUCAUCAAAAUCAUGAUUUGGAAUAAUUCCAUCAUCCCAAAAAUAUCCUUGUACCCCUUUGCGGUGAGUCCCCUCCCUCCGUCCUUACCUCUCAGAACCCUCAGAGCCACCACUGGUCUGCUUUCUAUUGCACUAGUUUUGCCUUUUCUAGAUUUUCAUAUAAAUGAAAUCAUGAAGUAUAGAUUGUCUUUUGUCUGGCUUCUUUCACUCAGCACAAUGAUUUUAAGACUUGUGCAUUUGUGUGAAUCACUAGUUUAUUCUUUCUGUCCUGGGCAGUGUUCC